This 484-nucleotide ribosomal RNA is filed under the name uncultured bacterium. RNAcentral's name for it is "partial 16S ribosomal RNA". It matches the Rfam family "Bacterial small subunit ribosomal RNA", at positions 30 to 507 of the family's 1533-position model. The record is from RNAcentral.
AUUGAACGCUGGCGGCAGGCCUAACACAUGCAAGUCGAGCGGAUGAAGGGAGCUUGCUCCUGGAUUCAGCGGCGGACGGGUGAGUAAUGCCUAGGAAUCUGCCUGGUAGGGGGGGAUAACGUCCGGAAACGGGCGCUAAUACCGCCUACGUCCUGAGGGAGCAAGUGGGGGGGCGUCGGACCUCACGCUAUCAGAUGAGCCUAGGUCGGAUUAGCUAGUUGGUGGGGUAAAGGCCUACCAAGGCGACGAUCCGUAACUGGUCUGAGAGGAUGAUCAGUCACACUGGAACUGAGACACGGUCCAGACUCCUACGAGAGGCAGCAGUCGGGAAUAUUGGACAGUAGGCGAAAGCCUGAUACAGCCAUGGCGCGUGUGUGAAGAAGGUCUUCGGAGUGUAAAGCACUUUAAGUUGGGAGGAAGGGCAGUAAGUUAAUACCUUGCUGUUUUGACGUUAACAACAGAAUAAGCACCGGCUAACUUCGUG